UGCAGGUUUACAUGCCUACAAACGCAAUCUCUACUGGGUUGCGAUGUUACCAGUAGCAGGAUCAAUGCUGACCCUGACCUGA
Long non-coding RNA from Thalassophryne amazonica, 82 nucleotides. RefSeq lists it as uncharacterized. The transcript has 3 exons. The record is from RefSeq and is a predicted model, not a curated record. Lineage: Eukaryota; Metazoa; Chordata; Actinopteri; Batrachoidiformes; Batrachoididae.